UACGAAGGGGGCUAGCGUUGUUCGGAAUUACUGGGCGUAAAGCGCGCGCAGGCGGUCUUCCAAGUCAGUGGUGAAAGCCCGGAGCUCAACUCCGGAACUGCCAUUGAAACUGUGAGACUUGAGGAUGAGAGAGGUGAGUGGAAUUCCCAGUGUAGAGGUGAAAUUCGUAGAUAUUGGGAAGAACACCUGUGGCGAAGGCGGCUCACUGGCUCAUUUCUGACGCUCAGGCGCGACAGCGUGGGGAUCGAAACAGG
Molecule: ribosomal RNA, 254 nt
Filed under: uncultured bacterium
Lineage: Bacteria
Description: partial 16S ribosomal RNA
Rfam family: Bacterial small subunit ribosomal RNA
Source: RNAcentral